AUGAUCAGCACAGUUGAAAAAGAAAAAUCCAUGACCUCCUCACCCAUAGCAAUUACAGCCACACGUCAUGGCACAACAGAUGGAACCUUAAGUGCAACUGCAACCAUUUCUAUGCAAUCUGCUGUACCUUCAGUUGCAGAAGGGGAAACAGUAAAAUCAACCAGUAAAGCAUCUGAUGAUGACUCAUCUUCUGAGACAACUUCAGGGUCCUCUGUGGAUGGAUGGAGAGCAUCUGAAAAAACAAGGACAUCUACAGCCUCUUUACUGUACAGCACUGAAAAACCAACUGUUGCCCCUGAUACAGGACAUACAGAUGAGGGAAUUCCAGGUGACCAAAAUCAGAGUAUGUUCACUGAGGGCGUAGUUACAACAGAUAAGGCAGAUCACAUAUCACCAACCUCACCUGGAACUUCCGCAGGAGACUUUGCAAAGUCACCAACAAGUGCUUCCUCUUCUCUCUAUAGCACAGUAAAACCAUCUGACACAGCACUCGAAGUCGUUAAUGAUACAGGCACUUCAAGUUAUCAAACUUCUGGUAUACUAACAACUUUAACAUUGAAGGCAGAACCGAUAACAUUUUCAGUUACCUCACCUGAACCUGCCACCGGGGAGACUGCAAUUCCAGUAUCACAUGCUGCUUCCAGUCUUUAUAGCACAAAUAAGCCAACUGUCACAUCAUCUCCUGAUGUUACUGGGAAGGAUAGGUUAGAUGAUUACACUGUGACAAAGCCUGUGACACAGACAGUUGCUCCUCUGCACAGUAUAAGAGACCAAACGUCCACAAAAACAUCACCUCCUCCCUACAGCACAGAUACAUUUUUAGUGACAAGUAACACAGAUGCUGUAGGGGAGGGGGGCUCUGGGGAUGAGAUAUCAGAUACCACAACUACAUCGUCUAAGACAUUGACAACUGAGAGGGAAAAUACUGUAGCCACUUCAGUCUUACCUCAGUUCAGCACAGAGAAACCCACCACAAUGACCCCAGAGGAUGGAACUCAAAUGAGUGAGAUAACCACAGUGGUAGUCAAAGAAUCAUUGUCAGAAACAGUUUCAACCCCUACCGAUGGUGCAAUGUCAACCCCAGCACAUGGAGAAAGCACAAGGGAUCACCACAUCGCCUCUAUAUCUACAAAGGAAUCAAUUUCUACAUCAACAGUGUCUUCUCUACAAAGCACUUCAAAGCCUGAUGUGAUGGUUCAGUUUGUUACCACUUAUUUACCAGAACCUGAUACAACACUAUCUGAGGUGUCUUUCCAACAGGCCAGGUCUGAGAUCACGUUCACUCAACAUCCCCACAUUGAAAUCUCCUCUGAGAAAACUGUGUUGGCCACAACAAGCCCAAUGUUACCCAGUGAGGAGUCAAGCCAGCACUUUGAAUCUAGUGAUGUGAUUUCCCACACUGGAGUUACAACCAUGUCACUGAAAGAUAAGACAGCUGAAGCACAAAGCCAAGCCCCUAUAACCAAAGAAGUUUUAACUGAUGCUGAAGGUAGCACAGUCGAAGAUAGUAAAACAUCUACCAAUGCUGCAAUAACGUCCAAUCCUACAGAUGAAACCGUAUAUUCUAAAGGAACAGAGCCUGCUGGGGUUGAAUAUACAACUCCCAAACAUACAACUGAUAGAUCUGCAAAACCUGAAGAAGAAACUGCAGUUGUUGAGGCUGCAUCUUCUACAGACUCAAGCUCAGUGGAAACAUCUGCAGAGAGUUCAAGUGAACAAACUCUAGAGGCAACAGCUUCUUCACUUUCAAUGCAAACAAAAAAGAUUCCAUCCCUAAUUGUGUCUUCACUGUUCAGCACUGAGACUCCAUCGGUUGCUUCCAUUUCAGAUGUUACUGAUCAAGUGGCUUCUCAAGAGCCAUCAACAACAUCACCCAAAAUGGUGACAGGAGAGAGAGAACAGACUGCCACUUCCCCUUCUGCAUUUCAUAAAUCAACUGAAGUGUCACUUGAGACCGACACUUCAACAGAUAAAGAAGGUUCAAGUUAUGAAAACACAUCAUUGGAGAGUGAGGAGAUCACUGUAUCAACAGAAACAAGUAUUAGCAUUUUAACAGAAGAAGUAAGUUCAGGUGACUCAGACUCCGUCACUCCAGCUGUUUCAUCCCUGUCCAGUACUCUUGAGUUGGAUAUAAUCACCAGCACUUUAUCACAUGAGAUGGUAAAUACCAAAACAGAUAAACCAGAAUCAUCUACAUAUGAGCAAACCUCAGGUCAGAAGUCACCUGAGACCUCCAUCACUGAAGCUUAUGCAACACAAUACCCUGCUGUGACCGGCACUGAAGAGUCACCAAAGAAUUCAACUUCUCUUGAGUCAGGAUCAACAGGUUCCAAAAGCAAGGAGGCACAAUAUGCAGACCUAACAGGCACACCACCCUCUGGUUCUACUAAUGAUGCCGAAAUCUCUACCAGCUCAGAUACUAAAGUAGUGGUCACCACAAUGCCAGCUGAACGCAUUUCCUUUGAACCUACUUCAAAUGUUCCUUCAGCAUCAUCACCAUCACAACCUGAUGUUUUGGUCCAAUAUGUCACAACAGUUUCCCCUGUUCAACACCUAACAACUCCCCAGAGUUCAUUUGAACAUGCCAGGUCAGAGGUUGCAAUAACACAGCGCCCUCACACUGAUCUUUCUUCUCAGGAUAUAUUACUGACCACAACUCGCCCUAUGUUUACAAGUCAUGAAGCAGGCCAGAUUACAGAAUCAAAAACUGUGCCCACUGCCUCUUCUUCAGUGGCUGAAACUAUAUCCGCUUCGGUGGAAGAUGGGACAAUUGAAUCUGUUGUUUUAAGUGGUGCAAAGACUGAACCAUCCGCAGAUACAGAUGUCCAAAUAAGACCUGUAGAAGAGAAUAUAUAUGAUGGCAAUAUAUUUUACCCGAUCCCAGAUUAUGAAUCCCCAAACCUAAGCAUUGUUGAAUUAGCUCCACAAAACAAUGAAACUAAAAUACCAAAACAUGUAUCAAUGUUCAUUACUUCACCACCUGUUAUUUCCCAAACAUCUGAGAGUCAGUCUGUUAGCAGUACUGAAAGUAGAUCAGGAGAAAAUGCAACCAACUCUCCUGUAGUAGUAGCCACAGCUAUCACUUUCUUGCCUUCUGCCUCAGCUCCCACCAGUGCAGCAUCCUCUAGUUCUGAGAGUGGUUCAGAAAGCACCAGCAGCUCAGAAGAAAGCAUGUCCACAGCAAGCACUGUUAAGAAGGAUAGUGAUGAGGUUGAGAAUAUCAGCUCUCAGCUUCUAUCUGUCCACGACUAA
This 3252-nucleotide long non-coding RNA is filed under the name Cottoperca gobio. Its description in RNAcentral is "lncRNA (ENSCGOG00000011384.1)". Lineage: Eukaryota; Metazoa; Chordata; Actinopteri; Perciformes; Bovichtidae. The record is from RNAcentral.